Molecule: ribosomal RNA, 393 nt
Filed under: uncultured bacterium
Lineage: Bacteria
Description: bacterial SSU rRNA
Rfam family: Bacterial small subunit ribosomal RNA
Source: RNAcentral
UAUUGCACAAUGGGGGGAACCCUGAUGCAGCGACGCCGCGUGAGUGAAGAAGUAUUUCGGUAUGUAAAGCACUAUCAGCAGAGAAGAAAAUGACGGUACCUGAAUAAGAAUCCCAGGCUAACUACGUGCCAGCAGCCGCGGUAAUACGUAGGGGGCAAGCGUUAUCCGGAUUUACUGGGUGUAAAGGGAGCGUAGACGGUUAUGCAAGUCUGGAGUGAAAGCCCGGGGCUCAACCCCGAGACUGCUUUGGAAACUGUAAAACUGGAGUGCAGGAGAGGCAGGCGGAAUUCCUAGUGUAGCGGUGAAAUGCGUAGAUAUUAGGAGGAACACCAGUGGCGAAGGCGGCUUGCUGGACGAUGACUGACGUUGAGGCUCGAAAGCGUGGGGAGCAAA